AGGACGAACGCUGGCGGCGUGCUUAACACAUGCAAGUGAACGGGACGGAUAUUGAAGCGACUUUCGGAGUGGUGGAUAUAUUGUUUAGUAGCGGACGGGUGAGUAAUGCAUGAGAACCUGCCCUUCAGAGGGGGACAACAGUUGGAAACGGCUGCUAAUACCCCAUAUGCCGAGAGGUGAAAGGAGCGAUCCGCUGAAGGAGUGGCUCAUGUCCUAUCAGCUAGUUGGUGAGGUAAGUGCUCAUCAAGGCGAUGACGGGUAGCCGGCCUGAGAGGGCGACCGACCACACUGGAACUGAGAUACGGUCCAGACUCCUACGGGAGGCAGCGGUGGGGAAUAUUGGGCAAUGGGCGGAAGCCCUGACCCAGCGACGCCGCGUGAGGGAAGAAGGCCUUUGGGUCGUAAACCUCUGUUGUAUGGGAAGAAGGAAGUGACGGUACCAUACGAGGAAGUCCCGGCUAACUACGUGCCAGCCGCAGC
RNAcentral lists this ribosomal RNA (480 nucleotides) under uncultured bacterium. RNAcentral's name for it is "bacterial SSU rRNA". It matches the Rfam family "Bacterial small subunit ribosomal RNA", at positions 26 to 518 of the family's 1533-position model. The record is from RNAcentral.